AUAGAGGCGUAUACAUGGACAAACCCUCUGCUGUGUACAUAUCAUCAUGGGAAAACUCUGGAUUGAGCAAUAUGGAACUGUGGAAAUAGUCAACCACAAAUGUAUCAUUUCACCAUGACUCUGAAUGAGCUGGAGCCUGGCAUGGUGAGGCUAUUGGGUGUAAGAAUGCCAUCUAAGACCUGACGUCAGAGCCAUGGAGAAUGGAGACCUGGACGCAGCAAGUGUAGAAAAGGACAGGCUAGAGGAAAAACAGUGAGCUGCACGCAAAGAACCUUCCAAGGAUGGAGAAGAGUGGUCAACCAGGUGGUUUCGGUUGGGAACAAACCCCCAGGACUGGCUGUACACGGGGGAUACUUUGAUAGGAAUUACACUGUCCCAACAUUUACUGAUUGGUUAGGAGGGACUAAAGGGACUAGAAGGGUUUCCAUUUACUACCCAUAGCGGAUGUAGGCCUCAUUAUCCUGUUCAUUCUCAGUAUUACAAUGUGAGGCAGCUGAGGACACAAUUACUACUGUUUUCCAAACUUAGCCAAACCUCUCCCCCAAUAGAAUCUCUGAAAUCAAGAAAUUAUGUGACUAAAAUUAUUUAUUUUCAUUUUGCAAGUGAAAAAGGGAACAUUUGAGCAACCUGAAUGUGAAAGAUAGAAAAUCGAGGCUAAGACAGUUAGUUACAUGAGGGAAGCAGAAUGUUCUGAUUUUUAUGUUAGUUUUCACAGGUGUCAGUCUUCCUAAAUGGCCUGGCUAAUUUAACUGAAAGAAUCCCACUCAUCUCUGAUCGUGUUAUUUAUUGUACCCAUGGUUUUAUAAAACUAGGGGUUAGUAAGAUCAGUGGUUAAAAACAAAUGGCAAGAGUUGUGGAACAGUGAGGGAAAGGGAAGACACCUGUAUAAGAUCCAGGAAGAGGUGGGGGCAGGGAGGUCCUCUGGUCCAGAGAGAAGGGAGGAAAGUUUAAUCACAAGGCUGAGACUGGGACACACAAGGCUCAACAGUUCAUUGAAAUUGGUAGGAAAACAUCUGACUGGGAGGUGUGAUCACUGUCAGGAGGAGAUGGAGAGAGUGGAACAUGUGCUAGUUCUUCGAGAUGAGAAUAACAGGUAGGAUUUAGAUUUUUCCUGUCUCUGGUACACACUCCAGUCCGGUUGGUGGCGGUAAUGGACCUUAAAUUUGGUUGCCCACUGUCAUAUAAAAACCACAGAAGAAGAACAACAACAACAGUCAAAGAUAGAACAAUGAGCCAGAUGUUUCACCGGAUGUAUAAAUCUGAAGCGUUGAUUUGGCAUUUCCACUCACCACCAAAUACAGUGCAUUCGGGAAAGUUUUCAGACCCCUUGACUUUUUCCACAUUUAGUUACGUUACAGCCUUAUUCUAAAAUUGAUUAUUUACAUAAGU
This is a non-coding RNA of Salmo salar (Atlantic salmon), 1389 nucleotides long. The record is from RefSeq and is a predicted model, not a curated record. NCBI's taxonomy places the organism in Eukaryota, Metazoa, Chordata, Actinopteri, Salmoniformes, Salmonidae.